UCGAGCCGGAUGCGGUGAAAGUCGCAAGUCCGGUUCCAAGGGGGCUCCUCUUCCGUAAGGAAGGGGGGCUACCCUCC
This is a non-coding RNA of Paraburkholderia phenazinium, 77 nucleotides long. The record is from Rfam. NCBI's taxonomy places the organism in Bacteria, Pseudomonadati, Pseudomonadota, Betaproteobacteria, Burkholderiales, Burkholderiaceae.